AGAAAAUAGUUUAAACAAAACAUCAUACAGAUAAUAUGACAUCGUAGAAACCCAUUAACUACUUUUCUA
Molecule: transfer RNA, 69 nt
Filed under: Hertwigia falcifera
Lineage: Eukaryota; Metazoa; Porifera; Hexactinellida; Lyssacinosida; Euplectellidae
Description: tRNA-Ile
Source: RNAcentral